This 441-nucleotide long non-coding RNA is filed under the name Equus asinus (donkey). Its description in RNAcentral is "lncRNA (ENSEASG00005037806.1)". Lineage: Eukaryota; Metazoa; Chordata; Mammalia; Perissodactyla; Equidae. The record is from RNAcentral.
GAGCAUUCCUUCCUGACUGGCGGCCAGAAGCCUGACAGAGAUAUUUUUGCUGACAUUCUUGGGUGUCAGAAGUGGGAUCUGAAGUGACGUUCCCCCCACCACCCUGAGGACCUUUUCCUGCACUGUCCAGAACCAAUGCAUCAGCACCUGCAAGAGCCCCUCAAGCUCUUUUAGUGCUCAGUUGCUCCUUUAUGGUGUUGAGAGACCUGCAGGUAAGUCCUCUGGGAUCCAAGACCUUCCGUGCUUUCAGGCAGAGGCCUUGGAGAGCUUUUUGCCUGAGGGCUUUAGUCCUUCACUAAAGGUUUAGGGAGUCUGCUCUGGUUGUCUGGACACCUUCACUAAAGGUUCAGGGCGAGAGGAGAGUCCAGUCUGGUUGUCUGGACGCCCAGCACUCGUUCCUGUUUCUUGUCACAGCAAGAUAAAGUUUUCAGCUGGAAGUUG